RNAcentral lists this ribosomal RNA (253 nucleotides) under uncultured bacterium. RNAcentral's name for it is "partial 16S ribosomal RNA". It matches the Rfam family "Bacterial small subunit ribosomal RNA", at positions 524 to 776 of the family's 1533-position model. The record is from RNAcentral.
GACGAACCGUCCUAACGUUGUUCGGAAUCACUGGGCUUAAAGGGCGCGUAGGCGGCCCUGCAAGUCGGGGGUGAAAUCCCACGGCCCAACCGUGGAAGUGCCUCCGAUACUGCGGGGCUCGAGCGAGGUAGGGGCAGGGGGAACUUCCGGUGGAGCGGUGAAAUGCGCAGAUAUCAGGAGGAACACCGGUGGCGAAGGCGGAUCUCUGGGCCUUACCUGACGCUCAGGCGCGAAAGCUAGGGGAGCGAACAGG